GUGGGGAAUCUUAGACAAUGGGGGAAACCCUGAUCUAGCCAUGCCGCGUGAGCGAUGAAGGCCUUAGGGUUGUAAAGCUCUUUCAGCUGGGAAGAUAAUGACUGUACCAGCAGAAGAAGCCCCGGCUAACUCCGUGCCAGCAGCCGCGGUAAUACGGAGGGGGCUAGCGUUGUUCGGAAUUACUGGGCGUAAAGCGCACGUAGGCGGACCGGAAAGUCAGAGGUGAAAUCCCAGGGCUCAACCUUGGAACUGCCUUUGAAACUCCUGGUCUUGAGGUCGAGAGAGGUGAGUGGAAUUCCGAGUGUAGAGGUGAAAUUCGUAGAUAUUCGGAGGAACACCAGUGGCGAAGGCGACUCACUGGCCCAAUACUGACGCUGAGGCGCGAAAGCGUGGGGAGCAAACAGGAUUAGAAACCCUGGUAGUCC
This 425-nucleotide ribosomal RNA is filed under the name uncultured bacterium. Its description in RNAcentral is "partial 16S ribosomal RNA". It matches the Rfam family "Bacterial small subunit ribosomal RNA", at positions 354 to 796 of the family's 1533-position model. The record is from RNAcentral.